UAGGGAAUCUUCGGCAAUGGACGAAAGUCUGACCGAGCAACGCCGCGUGAGUGAAGAAGGUUUUCAGAUCGUAAAACUCUGUUGGUAGAGAAGAACGUUGGUGAGAGUGGAAAGCUCAUCAAGUGACGGUAACUACCCAGAAAGGGACGGCUAACUACGUGCCAC
RNAcentral lists this ribosomal RNA (165 nucleotides) under uncultured bacterium. RNAcentral describes it as "partial 16S rRNA". It matches the Rfam family "Bacterial small subunit ribosomal RNA", at positions 355 to 511 of the family's 1533-position model. The record is from RNAcentral.